This is a long non-coding RNA of Etheostoma cragini (Arkansas darter), 111 nucleotides long. RefSeq lists it as uncharacterized. The record is from RefSeq and is a predicted model, not a curated record. The transcript has 3 exons. NCBI's taxonomy places the organism in Eukaryota, Metazoa, Chordata, Actinopteri, Perciformes, Percidae.
UCUUUUUUUACGUUCAAGUCAUAAAUCUGUAAAAUGACAAAAAUACACUGCUGUAAACACAUCUAAGGGACAUACAAACAACACAACAUUAGCCAGGUCUCAGUUGCUACA